This is a long non-coding RNA of Ostrea edulis (European flat oyster), 6345 nucleotides long. RefSeq lists it as uncharacterized. The transcript is spliced from 3 exons. Lineage: Eukaryota; Metazoa; Mollusca; Bivalvia; Ostreida; Ostreidae. The record is from RefSeq and is a predicted model, not a curated record.
AAAAUCUCGCAUGAAUAUAGGACAACCAUAAGGUUACCUCUUUUUUUCCAGGCCACCUGAGUAUAUUCUUGUUUCUCCCUGGUUACAUGUUGUGCUUUAACAUAUGAACAUUUUGAAAUUCUUCAAAAUGAGUACUGGACUAAUAUUUGCCUAAUUGUCAUGUAGCAUUAUUAUAGAGGAAUUAAAAUGUAAAGAACAAGGUACGGUUUUGGUCAAAAUCUGCCCUGUCAAGAAAAUUCACCAAAAUGCUAAACCUGGUAUUUGAGAAUGUAUCGUUUAUGAAUAUGACCAUUUUCCAUAGCAGCUGUAAUAUAUUCAACGGAAAACUCUAUAUCAAACUGACGUCACCAACUUUGCCGUUAAUUUUGACACAAUACACGAGAGUUCUCUCCAAGCGAUGUUCUGAGUAGGAAAAUAAAAACUGUAUCACACAUAGAUCUAUUUAUUAAUUUUUGAUCAAUGCAAAAUUAUUGGUUUUUGUACUGAUUUGAAUGGGUAUUAAAUCGAAAUUGAAACCACAUCAGAUAUACCGCGCUGGAGCAAAAACUACAGUCGUUCGUCAAAAGCUUUUCUGGUGCAGAAAUAUAAUGGUUUGAACACCAAGUUAAAGAAACAUUGAUAUACCGGUAACAGCGAUUUCUCAUUUCUGUCUCCGGUUUCUUUAUUGUGGCAGAAUUAAAGAAAAAUUAUGUUUAUAUUUGUUAAGAGUCUUGCGUGCAUUCGAAGAAAAUGACGACAUCAUUUGGAUAUGAGGUAGCUAGCUCACAUUCAAAUCACUGGAUUUUAUAUGAAGUUAAUUGGGUUGUGUAAUUUUUUACGUAUCAGAACACACUGGAAUUCAUCGGUAUUGGCUUUUAAUUGGCAUUCGCAGUAUUCCAUGAGCUUUGAUAAUAAAACAUAAAUGUAGACUCUCAAUGUUAUAUGCGUGAUAUUUGGAGCAAAAUGUCAUUUUCUAGGUAUGCUCGGGGGAAAAGGGCAGUGUUUCUGAGAAACUAGAAGCACAACUUCAAAGGGGAGAUAAUUAUGAAACGGCUGUGGAGAUCAGUUGUAGAGCGUUCGCUCCGUAACCUGGGGGUAGUGAGUUUGAACCCCAUUCAUGCCAUGGCCGCAUUGAACCUAAGACGUAGACAUACAUGUACUCCUUCGACAACACUCAACAGAAGUGAGAAUCACGGGUCUUUCAGAUAGGCACCUGAUGCCACCUCAAGUGUGUCCAGGGGUCCAUGUUUGCCUAGAUAGAAUGUUCUAUCAUUGAAAUGAUAAUGUCCUAUGGACCCGGUUUAACUGGGGUAGCUCCAGACCACAGUGUCUGCAGAUGUCCCUCCACCUGAGAUCUAUUGUUAAAUGUUUGAUUGACAGGCAGUUUACAAUUUGGGGGUGUUCACUUAAAAUUGGGUCUUUAACUGGAUUGACUUUUGUAAAUUUUUAGUGAUCAUUCACUUUCAAACACUUCAGUGACAAUUUAGUGAAUUGUGCCAUUACUUAUUUUGCCACAAAAAAGCUAGUCAGAGGGAAAUUUCAAUGUUGAAUUUUUAGCUCUUCUGAGCCGAAGGCUCAAAGAGCUAAUCAUAUGGCCAUAUGUCUGGCGUGCGGUGUGCGUCAACUUUUUGGAAAAAGGGCUCUAUCUCAAGAACCCCUUGGCCAAUUUUUGUCAAAUUUGUCACAGGGUAUCCUUGGCCCAAGGGCUUCAUUUGUACUAAAACUAGGGUUGUGACCCUUUAACAAGGGGAGAUAAUUAGGAAAAUGCAAACAAAAGUAGUGGUGGCUAAAAAAUCUUCUUCUCAAGAACCACUUGGCAAAUUAUCACCAAACUUAUGCAUAAGGAUGAGGUAGGUUGUAGAUUAAAAAUUGUUCAAGGCAUCAUCCUGGGGCAAAGAGUGUGGUCUCAAGGUCACUUCAAAGUUGACCUUAAAUUUUGUUUUGUUAAACUUUGAUAUUUUGCUUAGUAUAAAGACUAGGAUCAUCAAAUUUUGUCAGUUGAUGCAUCUUAGGACCUAAUAUCAUGUUGUCUCAAAAGUAGGUCAUGGUGAUCUACUUUUUGAAUUUCGCAGGUAAUUAUUAUUAAAUGGAUUUUGAUGCAUAUCUUGGACACUUUUGAGCCUAUGAUCAUCAAAAGUUGUCAGUUGAUGGAUCAUGGGACCUUGAAGUGUGUCAUGUGAAAAGUAUGUCACCAUGACCUACUUUCUGAAUUUUGUGGUUAAUCAUUUAUGAAGACAUUUUAGGUUGUUAUUUCAGAUACCGAGAGGUUUAGAAUCAUCUAACCUUGUAAGUUGAUGCAUCUAGAGGCCUCGAAACAUAUUUAUAAAAAAGAGUAGGUCACAGUGACCUACUUUUUGAAUUUUGCAGACAUUCCAAUUUCACAUUUUCAAUUUUAGAUGCAUAUUUUGGACACUAUGAAAGCUAGGAUCAUCAAACUUUGUCAGUUAAUGCAUCUUGAGUAUUCAUAGUUUGUUGACCAAAAAGUGGGUCACCGUGACCUACUUUUGGAAUUUGACGACUAUAUUGUAAUAUUUCAGAUACUAUUUGACUUACAAUUAUCAAACUUUGUCAGUUGGUGCAUGUUGAGUCUUCAGAGUGUGUUGACUAAAAAGUAGGUUACCGUGACGUAUUUUUGGAUUUUGACAGCUAUAUUUUAAUAUUUCAGAAACUAUUUGACUUACAAUCAUUAAACUUUGUCAGUUGAUGGGUCUUGAGUCUUCAGAGUGUGUCGACCAAAAAGUAGGUCACUGCGACCUACUUUUGGAAUUUGACCUUUAUAUCUGAAUAUUUCAGAUACUAUUUGACUUCAGUUAUCAAACUUUGUCAGUUGAUGCAUCUUGAGUCUUUAAAGUGUGUCGACCAAAAAGUAGGUCACUGUGGCCUUCUUUUGGAAUUUGACGGCUAUAUUUGAAUACUAUUUGACUUGUCAGUUGAUGCAUCUUGAGUCUUCAGUGUGUCGACCAAAAGUAGGUCACCGUGACCUACUUUUGGACAGUUACAUUUAAAUUUUCAGGUACUAUUUGACUUGACAUCAUCAAACUUUGUUAUUGAUGAAUCUUGGUUAGUGAGAAUUUUUGCCUGUUCUACAAUGUAUCAGAAAAGUGAUUCUAGACCCAUGGACUUCUUGUUAAAUCUUUUUCUUUUGGGGGGAUGAUUAAGGAAUUGAUUAGAAAUUGCAUGGAAAAAUUACAAAUUCAAGGAUCCUUACUUAUAGAAUAAUAAAUACAUUGUACGACCAAUAAAACAUUCUAUAUAUUAUAUUUUCAAUGAACUUUAUAAGCUGAUGUAACUCAUGAGAAUUCAAAACACCAUGUAUAAUGAUUGUUGAUCAAUUACCACUAGGUGCUUAUUUAUGGAGAAUGGCAGGUUGAAUUGUUUUUUUUAAACGAAUAAUGAACUGAACACAUGUAUGAGAUGUGUCACAGUAUUUAUUAAAAAUAAGUCCAUAUGGACUUCUGUUCCAUGUUAAAAGAGACAAUAUUCAUCAAUUUAGGUAUGCAUAGUCUAUCAAAAUCAAAUUAAGGCAUAUAAAAAUGUCUUUUCCAAAAAAGUAUUCAAAAAUAUUUCUGUAUUCAAUUCUUAUUGGUAAAUGUGACACAAAACAAGGUAUGACUGUUAAAUGAUGUCUCUGUUCUGGACAUUGAACAUGUUCAUGUUAUAUUCCUGUUCAAUCCUGUUAGGAACUAUGGAAAUAAAAUAAAGUUUUUCAUUUGUAGUCUCACAAACACACACAUCCAAAAUAUCCUGGACAAGUACAGCUUGCACUCUUCCAGAUGGUGGUUUCAAUUGAACCAUGUGAUUGUUUAAAGAACUUUGUUGACGUUGAUGGUCAGCAACUGCAUUGUCUCUAUCCAUGAACUUCACCAGAGCCAUGAACAAAUCACUACUGCCAUGUCCCGUUACUUUAACAAAAAUUUCUACUUUCCCAAAGCAUGUUUCCUUGAAUCGAAUUAUUUUGUUGUCUCUCCUUGUAGUUGACUUAUAGUCAACACUGUGAACAACCUGUUGGUCCACAAGUAGUCUUUUGAAGAAAACCACACGGACCUAUAAUUUCCAGCUAAGGUCAAAAGGAUUCCCUGUUCCUUAGAUUUCAAAGGUAUCUUACUGUAGGCACCAAUAACAGCAACCCUGUCUGUUAUUUCACUUGGACAGUGUCCCUUUCUUUCCAUUAUCUUCUGAAAGAGUUCCCGUUUACUGCUGCCAAACUUCAGAGCUUGGGACAACGUCAGUAGCUGCUUAUGAACACAAACCGCAAAUGCUAUUUGGGUUUCAAUAUGUUGGGUGCCAUGGAAAAGGUGUCUCCAUUAAAAUCCUUAAAAUGGAUACAAGAUGAGCACCAAAGUGGUCCAAGAUCCUCAACUUUUUCUGUCAGGUGCAAGAGCAUAUAUCAAACUCUUUGUCUUGAUCUGUCUCAUUCUGAAUCUCCGUCAACAUAUAUGGCAAAAAAGCAGGAUCUUCAGCAACAUCUUGAAGCAUUUAAAAACAAUACAAUUAUUGUAAAGUACAUAAAUAGCACAAAUGUUUCUAUAUAAUGUUUGGUGCAACAUGUCAUUUGAUUGGCUAGAGAAGAAGUAAAUUAUAUAUCGAUUGUAUAACCUAUGAUGUCUAUCACAAUGUGACUGAUGACGUAAAAAAGAAAUAAGUAAAUAAAUCCGCUUGACAUUACAUUUAAACUUUUUACAAUUUGAAGUCAUUUCUGAGGGGAAAUAAAAAUUCACAAAUAAAAUGUAAUUAAUAAAAUGAUCGCUACAUUGUCAAUUCUAAAUCAAAAGAUUGCAUGUGCCGGGCUUGUAACUUAUGAUUAUGAAUAUUGGAUCAUUCACAAGCAUCAGAAAAUAAUGCAUAAAACGAAAUCUAGGAACUUGUUACCUUUCUGCUACAUCAACAGUUAUGGUACAUAAUCGUAACAAGAACUAACUCAUGAAAGGCAUCGAUAAUCAUAAUGGCAACAGGGCCAGCAGUUUCACAUGCCACGCUUCGAUUGCCGAAAUUUUCUGAUGAAAUGUUGUCUUUUCCUUGUUGCAUUCGCCAAAGGGAUACUUUGAGUGUUGGAUUAGACUUAUCGGCAUGGAAAACCUGGUAGCUACCACGUUUGUGAGGGCUUCGGAGCAGACGUGUUUCGAUUUUCUUUCUUUUUAAAAUGGUGCCUUCUUUGUUUACAUCCGGAAUAACCGGAAGUGUGCGAAUCGAGUAUUUACAUAAUUAAGAAAAAUACGUUUGAAUGUUCCUGAUCAAUUUAAGCAAAACUGAUGAAUAACUAAAAAAAAUCUCACGUAUUUACUUUACGAUUUUUAAUCAUUUGAAGUCAUAAAGGUUUUUAAUUCCUUGAUUCCAGUAUUUCCUCUAAUCGCUGAUUGGUCAAAUCUGAAAAGGGGCAGUAAAACGAUUUUCAUUGGCUCCGCUCUCCAUUUUCAAACAAUGUAGCGUCGGUUCAAGAAGGUGAAAGUUAAAAGGUUCUAUUAUUACUUUCUUCAACGAACCAUGUAUGCCCUUAUGGAGUGGAUAGAGGAAGAAAAGGUCAGCAUCAUAACCUUAUCACGCAUCAAAGAUCCAAGAAAGGAGUUUUGCCAGUAUAUAAAGUCGGGGAUUUGGUGAAAGCCAGCUGCCAUGGCUUUCCUGGCGUGCAUCCCGCCAAGAUCUUAGAUGCAUGAUGGAGCUGAUGCCUGGUAGUGGGAUCUACGUUUAUUCCAAAGAUAUACGAGCUUUAUAUAAGCCAAAAAGAAAAAAAAGUGUAACUUGUCAGGAGGGGGAACCUAACUGGUGCAAAUGCAAAGGAAGGUCUUGAAAAGGCCAUUUUGAAGACUAUUCUUGACUAUGCCGGGAUUCAGAGGCCAUUGUCAAGUUUUCGAUGAGGACCAAGAUUAGUUCCCUAGUCAGCCUCCAAAACAGGAAACAGACCUAACUUUUAUCCAUUCAGUAAUGUGAUAUGGGAUUGUCCAAUUUUUAAUGUGAUAAUAAUAUGUACAAAGAGUUAGUAAUAAAUAUUUUAUUUAUUCUUUUAAAAAUAUUUUUGUUCCAAACUUUAUAAAUGAAAUUAAUUAUACCAACAAUAGUCGCUGUUUAUAAUCUAUAAUGUCUUAUUAUCCCUGUAUUUAUUAUACUUUUUGCUACGUAUAACUUUUGUCGGGUAUAACUUUUUUGUAACUUUUCCAUAACUUUUGUCAGGUAUAAAUUUUUUGUAACUUUUCCAUAACUUUUGUUGGGUAUAACUUUUUUGUAACUUUUGUCAGGUAUAACUUUAUUGUAACUUUUCCAUAACUUAAGUAUAACUUUUUGUAACUUUUAUGAAGUAUAACUUUUUUGAAGUAUAACUUUUUGAUAACUUUUAUGCACUUGUUGUAUUCAUGUUGAAAUAAAAGAUGAUAA